GCGUCCGGUGGAGGAAAGUCCGGGCUCCCAGAGAACACGGUGGCGGCUAACGGCCGCCGGGGGCGACCCCAGGGAAAGUGCCACAGAGAACAUACCGCCUCCGCGCCUUCGGGCUCGGCGGUAAGGGUGAAAAGGUGCGGUAAGAGCGCACCGCGCUUCUGGCAACAGAAGUGGCAGGGCAAACCCCACCGGGAGCAAGAUCAAAUAGGGGUGGGCGCGCGGAGCGGGAAACCGCAGACGCAAGGCGCGUUCUCACGCUACCUGCCCGGGUUGAUUGCACGAGGCGCUUGGCGACAGGCGUCCCAGAUGAAUGGCCGU
RNAcentral lists this RNase P RNA (318 nucleotides) under Streptomyces leeuwenhoekii. Its description in RNAcentral is "bacterial RNase P". It matches the Rfam family "Bacterial RNase P class A", at positions 33 to 319 of the family's 367-position model. Rfam says of the family: Ribonuclease P (RNase P) is a ubiquitous endoribonuclease, found in archaea, bacteria and eukarya as well as chloroplasts and mitochondria. Its best characterised activity is the generation of mature 5'-ends of tRNAs by cleaving the 5'-leader elements of precursor-tRNAs. The record is from RNAcentral. Lineage: Bacteria; Bacillati; Actinomycetota; Actinomycetes; Kitasatosporales; Streptomycetaceae.